UACGUAGGGUGCUAGCGUUGUUCGGAAUCAUUGGGCGUAAAGCGCGUGUAGGUGGUUAAGUAAGUCGGGUGUGAAAGCCCUCGGCUCAACCGAGGAAGUGCAUCCGAAACUACUUAGCUAGAGGACGGUAGAGGAAGGUGGAAUUCCAAGUGUAGAGGUGAAAUUCGUAGAUAUUUGGAGGAAUACCGGUGGCGAAGGCGGCCUUCUGGGCCGUUCCUGACACUGAGACGCGAAAGCGUGGGUAGCAAACAGG
This 253-nucleotide ribosomal RNA is filed under the name uncultured bacterium. RNAcentral describes it as "partial 16S ribosomal RNA". It matches the Rfam family "Bacterial small subunit ribosomal RNA", at positions 524 to 776 of the family's 1533-position model. The record is from RNAcentral.